This is an RNA transcript of Grammomys surdaster, 1348 nucleotides long. It is a transcript of the gene named palmitoyltransferase ZDHHC3 pseudogene, with no coding region annotated. The record is from RefSeq and is a predicted model, not a curated record. Lineage: Eukaryota; Metazoa; Chordata; Mammalia; Rodentia; Muridae. The transcript has a single exon.
GGAGGCAAGAACCAAUUCCAGACAAGCUGAGUGGGAGAGGAAGGCCAAGGCACCUUCCUCUCUCUGGAGGACCCCCUCCUCUCUCCGGGGGUUCCUCCGGGGCCCUGGGUCUACCAUCAGGAUGCUAGCUCUUGAACAAGCCUGAGAACUCUCAAAAUGUUCUCGUGGGUCCAAAACCGCAGCACAUCUGAGCACAGCGCCGGGCUAGAGACCCCACUGCAGGCCCCCAACCGACGCUGCUGGUUCAUACUUGAUCCUAUUGGCAUCCUGUGUGCCCUGGGUGCAUGGGCGCUGAUGCUGAGCGGUGGAUGGAUACUAUUCCGGGACCUGCUUAUACCAUCUAACAACAUGUUGUACACAGUGGCCAAUGGUGUGAUCUUCCAUCUGCUGGCCUCGUUGGCACUUGUGUCACAUCUACGGACUAUGCUGACCGACCCAGGUUCUGUGCCCCUGGGUAACCCGCCCGGGCCUGACACAGUGUCCUACUGUCCCGACUGCCACUCUGCCAUACCAAAGAGAACUUACCACUGUACGGUGUGCAAGCGCUGCAUCCGCAAGAGCGACCACCACUGUCCCUGGAUCAACAACUGCGUGGGUGAAGACAACCAGAAGUACUUCUUGCUUUUCACAAUGUACAUUGGACUUACCGCGACCCACGUUCUGCUCCUGCUGGGCAUCCCCGUCUUGUGCAGCUACGCCCGGGGAGAGUGGAAUUCGAGCAGCACCGUGUCCCCAUCUGUCCCUAUCCUCUUCCUCCUCCUGUUGGCGUUGAUGGGCUUCAUCCUUGGCUUGGCGAUGCUCUGUAGCCAAAUGUGCACCAUCUGCACAGACAAAACUACAACGGAGCUGCUGUAUCGUAACACACGCUCAAGGGGCAGACGGUCCAAGUGUGUAAACUUGAAGGCCGUUUGUGGCUCCCACGUCUCCCUGGCCUGGCUCAGUCCUUUUCAUUCCCCAGAACAUUACAAAGUGAAUGAGCAGCACAAUACGGCCUAAGUCAUUCACGACUGUCCGGAGCAAAGCACAGCCACACACGAACCUGAACAAACCAGCUCCCUGAAGGAAAUCAACAUGGCAGACUAAAAAGUAAUAUACCUCAGAUUUUCUUACCCAACAAAACAGGAGAGGAAAGUCAGUUGUUGAGGGAACCCAGAGGAAAUUGAGCUCCCUGUGCCCUACUGUGGCUCAACCAUGCUGUCAACUGGAAAGCAAUUAAACACAUCCUUAUGAUUACCUGUCCUGAGUUGGUACCCACUCUUGUUUAAUUCCAACUGUACACUCUAAAGUCAUCACAAGACGAUAACCUGCCUUCUGCGGUGAGCUCAGAGAGCAUCAUCUGGUUCUGAAC